Molecule: ribosomal RNA, 274 nt
Filed under: uncultured bacterium
Lineage: Bacteria
Description: partial 16S ribosomal RNA
Rfam family: Bacterial small subunit ribosomal RNA
Source: RNAcentral
AUACAGAGGGUGCAAGCGUUAAUCGGAAUUACUGGGCGUAAAGCGCGCGUAGGCGGUUUGUUAAGUCGGAUGUGAAAGCCCUAGGCUCAACCUGGGAACUGCAUUCGAUACUGGCAGACUAGAGUAUGGUAGAGGUAAGUGGAAUUCCAGGUGUAGCGGUGAAAUGCGUAGAUAUCUGGAGGAACAUCAGUGGCGAAGGCGACUUACUGGACCAAUACUGACGCUGAGGUGCGAAAGCGUGGGGAGCAAACAGGAUUAGAUACCCCAGUAGUCC